CUUCUCUGCGACUUUCUUCUCCGUUCGAAGAAAGCCUAGCAAAAAAAUUCACUUUACCAGCCGGCAGCCACUGAGUCUGACUGAUUUAGAUCUACACCCUCACUCCGUUCGUCGCCGACGCCGUUGCUCGCCGCAUCUGUGAGACUCCAUCGCCAUCGCCAUCGCCUUAACAAGUCCCAAGUCCCAAGUCCCAAAUCGAAGCUGCUCUCUGCCUCUCCGGCCUCCGCCAGUCCGCCGCGCUCUACGUCUCCUGUCGGCUGUGUCCUGCCGUGCUGGUUCAUCGCUGCCGAGUGUCGAAGACGAAGCACCAAGAUCUCACUAGUUCAUCGCUGGUUCAUCACUGCUCAUCUCUGGCUCACUUAGAAAAUUUCAUGACUGGUUAUCGGGUAGUUUUCAACCGCGAGAACAUGACUUUGGGAUGGAAGCCAUCUAACUACUCAGAUCGGAUCGGGCAGUCGAACCGGUAGAAUCGAAAAUCGGUCAGGCAUCCGGUCCGAACUAGUUAAAAAACUCGAGUGUUAAAAAUUCGGUGAAUCGGAUAAUUUGAUCAACCCCGGUUUUUUUUUUUUGCCCUUUUUCUGCCUUUUUUUUCAAUCAAAAGUUUGACUGACCAACUAAAAAAGAGACGAAAUUAACAAAACUUGGGUCAGCACCUCUGCUUCUCUUUCCGUUGUUUUCUUCCUUUCUUCUUCAGCUCCAAUAACCCUAAAAUCUAAAAGCCUCCACCGCUGACAUUUGAGAUUCACCGAUCGUCGCUUAAUCAAGGUUGCCGUUAGUCACCUGUCCUUCAAUCUCUAGCCUCCACCGCCGCAACAUCACCAGUUUCUUCAGAUUUCAAGGUUCAAUCAAGUAAUUAACACGCUGGUGAACCGAAGCUAAAUCUGUUUUUAAUGUGCAGCUUGAUGAUGAGGAUGAUCUUGAUGACAUCGAUUUCGAAAGUUAUGAAAUUGGAGAAAAGGAUGAUGAAGAUGAAGAUGAAGAAUGGCUUAGAUAGUUCUUUGAUUUAGAAAUUGAACGUGUUGUUUUAUUUAGAUUGAUAUUUAUCAAGCAUUUGAACAUGAGCUUGUUACCUUAUUUGGAUUGCUAUUUGUCAGGGAUUAAACAUGUAUGGAAUUUCUAUUUUAUAAAUUUUGUGAGUUUGGAUGAAUUUGGUGUAUUGGAUAUAAAUUUAGAUGAUUGGGUUCUUUGAUUA
Non-coding RNA from Coffea arabica (coffee), 1192 nucleotides. The record is from RefSeq and is a predicted model, not a curated record. Lineage: Eukaryota; Viridiplantae; Streptophyta; Magnoliopsida; Gentianales; Rubiaceae.